RNAcentral lists this ribosomal RNA (873 nucleotides) under uncultured bacterium. Its description in RNAcentral is "bacterial SSU rRNA". It matches the Rfam family "Bacterial small subunit ribosomal RNA", at positions 23 to 896 of the family's 1533-position model. The record is from RNAcentral.
AAAAAGAGACCGCAUAGCGGCAGGCCUAAUACAUGCAAGUCGAGGGGCAGCAUUCACUUCGGUGAGAUGGCGACCGGCGCACGGGUGCGUAACGCGUGUGCAACCUACCUUGUACAGGGGGAUAGCCCGGAGAAAUUCGGAUUAAUACCCCGCGGUAUUAUGAUACGGCAUCGUAUAAUGAUUAAAGAUUUAUCGGUACAAGAUGGGCAUGCGUGACAUUAGCUAGUUGGUACGGUAAUGGCGUACCAAGGCGAUGAUGUCUAGGGGUUCUGAGAGGAUGAUCCCCCACACUGGUACUGAGAUACGGACCAGACUCCUACGGGAGGCAGCAGUAGGGAAUAUUGGUCAAUGGGCGGAAGCCUGAACCAGCCAUGCCGCGUGCAGGAAGACGGCCUUCUGGGCUGUAAACUGCUUUUACCAGGGAACAAAUAGGCCAUGCGUGGCAAGUUGAGUGUACCUGGGGAAUAAGCACCGGCUAACUCCGUGCCAGCAGCCGCGGUAAUACGGAGGGUGCAAGCGUUGUCCGGAUUUAUUGGGUUUAAAGGGUGCGUAGGCGGUUUAUUAAGUCAGUGGUGAAAGCCCCCAGCUCAACUGGGGAACUGCCAUUGAAACUGGUAGACUUGAGUACAGACGAGGUAGGCGGAAUUUAUGGUGUAGCGGUGGAAUGCAUAGAUACCAUAGAGAACCCCGAUAGCGAAGGCAGCUUACUAGACUGUAACUGACGCUGAGGCACGAAAGCGUGGGGAGCGAACAGGAUUAGAUACCCUGGUAGUCCACGCAGUAAACGAUGAUGACUCGAUGUGUGCGAUAUAUUGUACGCGUCUUAGCGAAAGCGUUAAGUCAUCCACCUGGGGGAGUACGCUCGCAAGAGUG